Long non-coding RNA from Monomorium pharaonis (pharaoh ant), 5057 nucleotides. RefSeq lists it as uncharacterized. The transcript has 2 exons. The record is from RefSeq and is a predicted model, not a curated record. NCBI's taxonomy places the organism in Eukaryota, Metazoa, Arthropoda, Insecta, Hymenoptera, Formicidae.
UAGGUCUCAAAAAAUAGUCGAUUAAAAACGGUUAAAUCUCAAAAAGAGUUAGGCCUGGAAAAGGUUAACUCUUAAAAAACUGUCGAAUAUUAGAAAAGGUUAGGUUGUGACCGGAUAACCGAUAGGCACGAGUCGAGAUCAAGACAAUUGGGAACUCACCAAAGACUUUGCGCAAGUCGUCACAGUCGCCAGCCCCUUUAUGUCCACCAAGAGGCAAGGAUUUCCGCUCCCAGGGUUGUCGCUCAGUUCUGCUGCGCUGGAAGCUCUGCGUUUCUGGAUGUGCCGGAAGAAUGAACAACACAAUGGAACGCCUUCACGUGCCGUCGCACAAAACCAACAACGCUUAUUUCGCGAUUAUCGCUAAUCACUAAUUUUCUUUCUGUUUCAGGUGCUGCUGUCAACGUCAGGAUGUCCUCCCAGGUCGCCGUCAAUCCCACAGGGACUUCACCAGGUAAGUAUAUUUUCAGAGGGUGUCUUGCCCGUGGCCCCGUUGGUUAUCAGGAUCGGUUCAGCUCAGCUCGCCAGGAAUCCGUCACGUCUCAGUGAUCACACGCACGUCGGAAAGAUAGGUGAACGAAUAAACUCAAUUCAGUAUGUUUAUUAACAAUAACAAAACAACGGUUUAUUCAACUCUGAUUUUGUUCACAGGAAUCCGUCCGCGUCGCUUAUUCACAAACGAUUCGCACAAUUUCGGAUUUCCAAGAACACUUCGGCCUACUCGCAUUCGGCCGCUUGUAAUUAAUACGCUUUUAACGUGCACAGCACGGAACUCACGCACUCGCGUGAUCUCGUGUUUCGGUGUUUCGAGAUCUUGGCUUUUUAGAAUCUCAAUAGCGCGCGAAAACUCUUGCGUCGGUAUUCCGCGGUGUUAUCGCUAGGAAAUUCUGCGCGCGAAAGCUCACGAGAGCUCUCGGUGCUCGCUUUUGUACUCGGGAGAGAGACGCUACUCCCUCCCGUCGGAAUCCGCCAAUCGCGCGUAAGCUUUACUGCGCCGCUGCCGGGAGCGCCCGGGCUUCCCCCUCCCGUCGGGUUGCGCCAACCACGCGUGGCGUCGUUUCCCCCGGGCGCGGGACUUCGCUGCAGUCCCCACUCCUCGCGGCUUGCUCGGCUGCGCGGUUUGGUUGCGCUGUGGGCAUCGUACAUGCUGCCCCCUCCAGCUUGGCGGAUCCCCAUCACCAAGGUGGAGACUGCACUUGCGAGUGCAGCUACUAUGUGUUGAUUGCAAUUAAAGUGCAAUCCACACCAAUUACGUGUUUUAUGCCGGGUUAAAGCCAUGAUACCAAGAAGUGCAUUGAACAUGCAUAGGAAAUCAAGAAUGUUAUGUUGAGCCUCAAAUUAACAAUAUUGAAGAGAAAACAAACGUAGCACAAAAGUUGUGCUUCAAGCAUGUCAAAGUGACAGAUUUUUUACUAUGUGAAAUCAAACAAAGGUGAUAUGGCUCAGUAUGAUUUGUUCUGAAAAUGACUUUAAUCCGACUGUGUCGCCCGUACUUAAGAAUUAAGGAAACUAUUAUGGCAAUCGCUGCUAUGUGAAUACAGGCAAAAAUAUAAUUAUAAUAACUAUGACUAUUAAUAGGAUGACUACUAAAGUGAUUAUAACAAUAGUAGGUAAGUAUAACAUUUUUUAUAACUAAUUUGAAAAGCAUAAAAUGAUUACAAGAAUGAAUAAUAAUAAAAUUAUGACCAACGUAAGUAAAGUCAUGAUAAGAACGAAAAACAUUUCUUAAGGACUAGAUUGCGGAAUAUAUUUUUGAGAGAAUAUAAGAUACAAUAUACAAUAUAAUGCAAACACGAUUAUUAUAUAAUUUUAUAAAAUGAGUAAGGUGGUGUGGGCGCGCGUUUACGUCUAACUUAAAAUUAAGGUUAAUAUGCAUAAACAAUAUUGAUAUAACUUAUCAUGAAAAUAACUAAAACAGUAUGGACGCACGUUUACUGGCAACCUAAAAUAAGGGGUUGACAUGCGCAAAUGAAAAGAAGUGAAAAUUUAUUAUAAAUCACUAAAAGAGGUAUGAAUACGCAUUUAAUGUUAACUUAAAAAAAAAAUGGUUAACGCGCAGGUAAGAAAAGGUAAUGUUUAUAUAUGCGCUAUUUAUUGGGGCGCACUAUAGGGUUGGGGCUUCCCGCUGGCGAUCUUCUUGGUCGACCGCAGGUUGUUGCGCACGCUGUAUAAUGAUGCUGACCGCCUCCUUUGUCUGGGCCCCCUUGAGUUCAAAUGGUACUGCUGUGGCUGUCCCGGCUAUGUCCUCUGGUGAUGUCGAUGGACCGGGGCGUAGGCUGACCCUGGGGAACGGUUUCAAAGUCUGAAAAAAGUUAGGUCUAGAGAAAGUUAGGUCUCAAAAAACAGUCGAAUAUUAAAAACGAUUAGGUCUCAAAAAAGUUAGGUUUCAAAAAACAGUCGAAUAUUAAAGACGAUUAAGUCUCAAGAAAGUUAGGUCUUAAAAAACAGUCGAAUAUUAAAGAAGGUUAAAUCUUAAAAAAAUUAGCUCUCAAAAAGGUUUAAGUCUCAAAUAUCAAGGUUUUGUCUGAAAAAAUAAAAGUAAGAACUGAAAAAUAAAAGUUACAUCUGCAAAAAAUACGUUAGAACUAAAAAAUAAAGGUUAGGAUGUGACCGGAUUACCGAAUGACGUGACUCACGAGUUUGGACAAACAAAGAUUCACAAACCUUUCGUUGCAGGUUUUCACAGUCGCCAGCCUCUUUAUAACCUCCAAGAGGCAAGGUGUGGUGUCCCGGAAUUGUCGCUCUGCUCAGGAACGCCGGAACGCACGUCGGUGUUGCUUCCGUUGGAAGGACAGCUACCACUAACUGGAUUAUAUCCCAGAAGAAAUUCACAACACACGAACUUCGAACGAACUUAUUAUUAAUCCUUUGUCUCUUUUCUUUCAGGUGCCGCCGUCGUCCCAGGAUCAUCCAGGAUCACCUUCGUCGUCCCACAGGAACUUCGCCAGGUAAGUAUAUUUUUUAUUUUUAGGUUUACCCGCGGUCCCGUUUGUUAAUAGGAUUUCUCUUUCACAGGAUACCCGGAAUCUCACGGACUCAGGAACGGACACGCUGUCUGGUAUGCAGGUAAGUGAGAGAUAACACUUGAUUGUUUUUAGUAACAAAUAACAAACAGUAUGCUUUAUUCAAAGUUGCCAAUGUCACAUCUGUCACAUUUAUCCCGAACGCGGCGCUUGUUCACAAACGAGUAAACGCACUUUUGUGAUGUCGGGAAAAUCGAACCUACUCGCAUUCGGUGGAUUUAAUAUGUUUAUUACGCGGAUGACACAGUUCACAAUCGAUCCGCGGAACUCUCGCUUGUCCCAAUUGCCUACUCGAGUUCGGCGGGACUAUCUCUCAAAACGCGCGAAAACUCUUUUCUUCGGUUAUUCGCGGUGUUAUCGUCUUGAUUUCUAGCGCGAAAGCUCGCUUUCUUUAACGUGCAUAGCACGGAACUCACGCACUCGCGAAAACUCGUAUUUAAUUAUUCCGAGUCGCAGUCGCUACGAUACUCAGCGCGGGAGAGUCCUUCGUUCGAUCUGCCGCGAUGUUAAGUCUAAGAUAUCUUGCGCGCGAAAUCUCCUGAGAGCUCUCGGUGCUCGCUUAAGUACUCGGGAGAGUGACGCUACCCCCUCCCGUCGGGAUCCGCCAAUCAUACGCUAACUCGCACGCGUCGCUGCCGGGAGCGCUCGGGUUUCCCCCUCCCGUCGGGUUACGCCAACCACGCGUGGCGUCGGUUUCCCCCGGUCGCGGGACUCUGCUAAGGCCCCCACUCCUUACGGCUCGCUCGGCUGCGCGGCCUGGUUGCGCUGUGGGCAUCGUGCUUGGUUGCCCCCUCCAGUUUGGCGUAUCCCCACCAUUGAAUGGAGAUUGCACUUGCAAGUGCAAAUAUUUGGUUUUGAUCGCAUUUAAGGUGCAAUCCAUACUUAUUAUAUAUCUUAAUGUUAGACGCGGCUCAUUAAAGCCACGAUACCAGAAAAUGCAUUGAGUAUGCGUAUGAAACCAAAAAUGUUGCGUUAAGCCUUAAUAUUAUGAUAUUAUAAAGAAAGUAAACAUAGCACAAAAAUUGUGCCUCAUGCAUAUUCGAAUGACUAGUUUUGUCAUGUAAUUUAAUAGAAAAAUAUUAUUGGUUAAUAGGAACCUCUUAUUAGGUGUUAAUAGUGCACUAGAGUGCGUUUUUAUGCAUUUUCUAAUAUUAUUUAAAGGUUUUGCGUAUUGCACUUAAAGUGCAGUUUUCACGCAAAUAUUGCACUUAAAGUGCAGUUUUCUUAAGAUUAACUUUAUGAACGUCGCUACGCAAAUACAGGCAAACAUAGGAUUAUAAUAAUGAUAAUUAUUAAGAGUAUGAUUACUAAGGUAAGUAUAACAAUUGUGGGUAAGUAUAACUAUUUAUAAGAUUUAUUUCGUAAACUUAGAACACAGAAUGCAUGCAAAUGCAAAUAAAACUUCGGAAUAUAAAAUAAUAAUUAGCAACUUUGACUGUAUUAGGACGCUAAACAUUUAACUUGCGCCUUUGAUGAAAAUAACCUUAACGUAUAAAAAAUCAUUAAACGAAACAAAGGCAAGAGCGAUUAUUUAAUUCGCGGGGUCGGGCAUAUCAUUCCUGUCGGGCUGGCUGCUGCUCCUCGCCCUCGUAGCUGAUGUGAUCCUGGGCACGUUCCAACACGAUGCUGACCACACUCCUACCCUCUAUUAUUUUGUUUUCCGCCUUGGUUGACUUAAACACCGGCGUUGGACCUCCCGUGUGCUCCUGGGCUGCCGUGGAUGGUCCCGGUUGCUGGGCGACCUGAGUAGACGGUCGCAAGGACUUAAAAAUAAAAGUUUCGUCUGUUGAAAAUAAAAGUUAAAACUUGAAAAUAGAGGUUAGGACUAAAAAAUAAAGAUUAGGACUGAAAAAUAAGUUUUGUCUGCCGAAAUUAAAGGUUAGGACUGAAUAAUAGAGGUUAAGACUAAAAAAUAGAGGUUAGGACUGAAAAAUAAAAGUUUCGUCUGCUGAAAUUAAAUGUUAGGAUUGAAAAAUAAAGGUUAGAACUGAAAAAUAGAAAUUAAAAUUGAAAAAUAAAAGUUCCGUUUGCCAAAAA